AGGCAAGGUGCGCGGGACAAUCUGUGGUCGUCAAUGCGACGGCAACCCCUGAGCGGGUGGGAUCCUCAGACCCGGACUUGCCAACCUG
This 88-nucleotide non-coding RNA is filed under the name unclassified sequences. The record is from Rfam.